Molecule: ribosomal RNA, 345 nt
Filed under: uncultured bacterium
Lineage: Bacteria
Description: bacterial SSU rRNA
Rfam family: Bacterial small subunit ribosomal RNA
Source: RNAcentral
AGGGUUUGAUUCUGGCUCAGGACGAACGCUGGCGGCGUGCCUAACACAUGCAAGUCGAACGAAGCUCUGCGAUACAAGACUUCGGUCAAGUUGAACGGAUGACUUAGUGGCGGACGGGUGAGUAACGCGUGAGGAACCUGCCUUUCAGUGGGGGACAACAGUUGGAAACGACUGCUAAUACCGCAUAAUGUAUUCUGACCGCAUGAUCGGAAUACCAAAGAUUUAUUGCUGAAAGAUGGCCUCGCGUCUGAUUAGAUAGUUGGUGAGGUAACGGCCCACCAAGUCGACGAUCAGUAGCCGGACUGAGAGGUUGAACGGCCACAUUGGGACUGAGAUACGGCCCAG